This 253-nucleotide ribosomal RNA is filed under the name uncultured bacterium. RNAcentral's name for it is "partial 16S ribosomal RNA". It matches the Rfam family "Bacterial small subunit ribosomal RNA", at positions 524 to 776 of the family's 1533-position model. The record is from RNAcentral.
UACGAAGGGGGCUAGCGUUGUUCGGAAUCACUGGGCGUAAAGGGCGCGUAGGCGGCUUUAUAAGUCGGGGGUGAAAGCCUGUGGCUCAACCCCAGAAUUGCCUUCGAUACUGUAGAGCUUGAGACCGGAAGAGGUAAGUGGAACUGCGAGUGUAGAGGUGAAAUUCGUAGAUAUUAGCAAGAACACCGGUGGCGAAGGCGGCGCUCUGGACCGAGACUGACGCUGAGGCGCGAAAGCGUGGGGAGCAAUCAGG